CCUACGGGAGGCAGCAGUAGGGAAUUUUCCGCAAUGGGCGAAAGCCUGACGGAGCAAUACCGCGUGAGGGAUGACGGCCUGUGGGUUGUAAACCUCUUUUCUCAAGGAAGAAGUUCUGACGGUACUUGAGGAAUAAGCAUCGGCUAACUCUGUGCCAGCAGCCGCGGUAAUACAGAGGAUGCAAGCGUUAUCCGGAAUCACUGGGCAUAAAGCGUCUGUAGGUUGUUUAGUAAGUCUGCUGUUAAAGACUGGGGCUUAACCCCAGAAAAGCAGUGGAAACUGCUAGACUCGAGUGUGGUAGAGGUAGAGGGAAUUCCUAGUGUAGCGGUGAAAUGCGUAGAUAUUAGGAAGAACACCAAUGGCGAAGGCACUCUACUGGGCCAUAACUGACACUGAGAGACGACAGCUAGGGGAGCAAACGGGAUUAGAUACCCCGGUAGUCCUAGCCGUAAACGAUGGAUACUAGAUGUUGCACGUAUUAACCCGUGCAGUAUCGUAGCUAAGGCGUUAAGUAUCCCGCCUGGGAAGUACGCUCGCAAGAGUGAAACUUAAAUGAAUUGACGGCUGAGAGUGCGAGCGCGACGAGGAGAGG
This 592-nucleotide ribosomal RNA is filed under the name uncultured bacterium. RNAcentral describes it as "bacterial SSU rRNA". It matches the Rfam family "Bacterial small subunit ribosomal RNA", at positions 338 to 944 of the family's 1533-position model. The record is from RNAcentral.